UGUCUGGCGGCUUUAGCGCGGUGGUCCCACCUGACCCCAUGCCGAACUCAGAAGUGAAACGCCGUAGCGCCGAUGGUAGUGUGGGGUCUCCCCAUGUGAGAGUAGGGAACUGCCAGACAU
RNAcentral lists this ribosomal RNA (120 nucleotides) under Enterobacter cloacae. RNAcentral also lists the same sequence under 4 other names. The record is from RNAcentral. Lineage: Bacteria; Pseudomonadati; Pseudomonadota; Gammaproteobacteria; Enterobacterales; Enterobacteriaceae.